RNAcentral lists this ribosomal RNA (292 nucleotides) under uncultured bacterium. RNAcentral describes it as "partial 16S ribosomal RNA". The record is from RNAcentral.
GGACUACAGGGGUAUCUAAUCCCGUUCGCUCCCCUGGCUUUCGCACCUCAGCGUCAGUCACCAGCCAGGACACUGCCUUCGCCUUCGGUGUUCCUCCGGAUCUCUACGCAUUUCACCACUCCACCCGGAAUUCCGUGUCCCUCUCUGGCCCUCAAGUCCUGCCGUCUUUCGCACCCUCGGGGAGUUAAGCCCCCCGCUGUCACGCGAAACGCGCAGCACCGCCUGCGUGCCCUUUACGCCCAGUAACUCCGGACAACGCUCGCCCCCUACGUAUUACCGCGGCGGCUGGCAC